AUUAAAGUUCUUUAGAGCAACAAUAUCCUGUCCGCAAUCGACGUUUCGUUCGAAAAAUAAUAUAACCAAAUGUAUAGAUAACGAUUUCAUUUGUUUGCGAUUUGGAGAAUAUUUAACAUAAUACAACAUGAAUUAUUUGUUUGUUUCUCACGAAGUCUGAGUUUGUUCUGUCAUACUUUCUGCAAUCUGAACUUACGGUAGAGAAUAUUUGCAUGAGAAACAUUGCAUAUAGCUUGGUCCAGAAUCUGCACAGAAACUACCAGUGAACAUCCAGAACUCGGUUGAUUUUUACAGCAUCUGUCUCCGUGCCUCAAUUUUUAAAAUUAGCAACAACAUAUGCUAUUGUCAGAUGUAUUUUUCCUAUAUGCUUGAUGAAUGUUUUGUUAUACUAGGGUGGCAGUACCGCCUCAAUCAAACACGUGAAAGAAAAAAUAAUUUUCCUUUACAAAAGAUCUGUUUAUAUAACAUUCAAUAUGUCUUCAGAAAGUGAUUCAGAUAUCUUUUUUGAUGCUGAAGACACUACACCUGUUCAUAUUGCUAAGUCAGCUUACAAAGAUGAAAAAAUGAAAGAUAUGACUGAUGUUUUACAAGAGGAUUCUGCCAUCAACAGUAAUGCUUUGAAACUUGUAGUUAUGGAUGUUAACGAAGAAGAUUUAAAGGAAGCUGCAAGGAAGGCAAAAGAUAGUGAACUAAGACGUAAAAAAGUUGAAGAACUGAGGAAAAUGGUUUUGAAUGAUGAUGAUGAAGUGUUACAAAAUCACUCAGAAGAAAGCAGCAUUGCCUCAUCUUCUGUGGAAGGUGUAUAUCCCAAAGGCAAUCCACAGUGUUUAUUAAAACAUUCUGAACAGAAUUCGAAUGAAACAUGUAGUAUCAUUAGUUUAGGGAAAAUUGGCAGCAUUCUUGGUGGUAGAGACAUUCAGAGCGGUGCUAAAGAUAUCGAUGCUGUUUCAGUGGAUUCUAAAUAUUCUAUUAGUGAAGUGGAAAGCUUAAAAGAAUUUGUUCCUCCAAAAUCUCAGUGUUCAGAGCCAGAUGUUGUUGCUAGCACAAAAAAUGAACAAGUUCAACAUCCUGUGGCACCACCUCGAAGAAAGAAGCGAAAUAAAAACAGUCAGUCAGUUUCUUCCAAUGUUAAAACAAAUUCUAGCAUCGAACAUCCAAGUCCAGCUGAUCCAAUCGAAAGCAUAACAAGAGAGCUUGAGUAUUCCUUAGAUUUGCAUAGUGCAACACGAGGGCAGUAUUGUGUUAAACCUCAGAUUUCUGGAUUUUCCCAGUUAUGCAACUGAAAUUAUCUGUCUUGUUCAAGGAAAUGCUGCCAGAUACUAUUUGAAAAUAUACUUCUCAUCAAAUGGGGCUGUAUAUUAAGAAAGAUAGCAUUGAUAGAGAACAAGAUCGAGCAGAAGGACCAAAUAAUGAUAAUGGUAAAAUUCAGAUGUCUUUGCCAAUACGAUCUCAAAGUUACAACAAUGUUUCUUCCAAAAGUGCCUCUGAUGCAUCUGAAACAGCAAAAGGGUCUU
RNAcentral lists this unclassified non-coding RNA (1514 nucleotides) under Stegodyphus dumicola. Its description in RNAcentral is "wD repeat-containing protein 44-like, transcript variant X4". Lineage: Eukaryota; Metazoa; Arthropoda; Arachnida; Araneae; Eresidae. The record is from RNAcentral.